Molecule: ribosomal RNA, 450 nt
Filed under: uncultured bacterium
Lineage: Bacteria
Description: partial 16S ribosomal RNA
Rfam family: Bacterial small subunit ribosomal RNA
Source: RNAcentral
GUGGGGAAUAUUGGACAAUGGGCGAAAGCCUGAUCCAGCCAUGCCGCGUGUGUGAAGAAGGUCUUCGGAUUGUAAAGCACUUUAAGUUGGGAGGAAGGGCAGUAAGUUAAUACCUUGCUGUUUUGACGUUACCGACAGAAUAAGCACCGGCUAACUUCGUGCCAGCAGCCGCGGUAAUACGAAGGGUGCAAGCGUUAAUCGGAAUUACUGGGCGUAAAGCGCGCGUAGGUGGUUUUGUAAGUUGGAGGUGAAAUCCCCGGGCUCAACCUGGGAACUGCCUACAAAACUGAAUUACUAGAGUACGGUAGAGGGUAGUGGAAUUUCCUGUGUAGCGGUGAAAUGCGUAGAUAUAGGAAGGAACACCAGUGGCGAAGGCGACUACCUGGACUGAUACUGACACUGAGGUGCGAAAGCGUGGGGAGCAAACAGGAUUAGAUACCCCUGUAGUCC